Molecule: transfer RNA, 85 nt
Filed under: Felis catus (domestic cat)
Lineage: Eukaryota; Metazoa; Chordata; Mammalia; Carnivora; Felidae
Rfam family: tRNA
About the family: Transfer RNA (tRNA) molecules are approximately 80 nucleotides in length. Their secondary structure includes four short double-helical elements and three loops (D, anti-codon, and T loops). Further hydrogen bonds mediate the characteristic L-shaped molecular structure. tRNAs have two regions of fundamental functional importance: the anti-codon, which is responsible for specific mRNA codon recognition, and the 3' end, to which the tRNAs corresponding amino acid is attached (by aminoacyl-tRNA synthetases). tRNAs cope with the degeneracy of the genetic code in two manners: having more than one tRNA (with a specific anti-codon) for a particular amino acid; and 'wobble' base-pairing, i.e. permitting non-standard base-pairing at the 3rd anti-codon position.
Source: Rfam by way of RNAcentral
GCCUGGGUGGCUCAGUCAGUUAAGCAUCUGACUUCAGCUCAGGUCACGAUCUUAUGGUUUGUAGGUUCGAGCCCCGCAUCAGGCU